Molecule: long non-coding RNA, 11290 nt
Filed under: Phaseolus vulgaris (common bean)
Lineage: Eukaryota; Viridiplantae; Streptophyta; Magnoliopsida; Fabales; Fabaceae
Description: long non-coding RNA (PVUL_LNC001385)
Source: RNAcentral
AAUUGCUAUGCCAGCUUCGUCACCCUAGAUGUGUUUCUCUCAUAGGAUUCUGCAACCACCAAAAUGAGAAGAUUCUUGUAUACGAGUACAUGUCCAAUGGAUCUCUAGAUAAACACCUACAAGAUGGUGAACUAUCAUGGAAGAAGAGGCUAGAGAUAUGCAUAGGAGUAGCACGUGGACUACACUACCUUCACACUGGAGCCAAGCGUUCCAUCUUUCACUGUAUCCUCGGUCCUAGUACCAUCCUUUUGGAUGACCACAUGGAGCCAAAACUCGCUGGUUUCGGUGUUAGCGUGCAGGGAUCACGUUUUAUGCCAAAGCAGAAGCAAAUCAGUGUAGAUCGUGUUUUGGGUAAUUUUUGUUUUGUUGUAUAUGAGCUCACUCACUGCAAUGCAUUUUUGUGGAUCAAACUAAGCCAAUACUCUUUGUUGUAGGUACUUGGGGCUACACGACUACGGACUAUGUCAUGGAUGGUACCAUCACAGCUAAAUGGGAUGUUUUCUCAUUUGGUUUCCUUCUACUAGAAGUUGUGUGCAGGGGGAUGUUUUAUUUAAUAAGCCUUACUGAAAAAGAAUGUCUCGAGAACCCUGUUGAGGAGGGACUUGACCCGAUUAUCAAAGGAAAGAUUGCACCAGAUUGUUGGCAAGUGUUUGUAGAUAUGAUGGUAACUUGCUUGAAUUAUGAACCAGAUGAGCGACCAACAAUUGGUGAAGAGGAGGUGCAACUUGAGCAUGCUCUAUCCAUGCAGGAACAAGCUGAUAUCACAAACUCCAACUCUGAGUAUACCUUACUGUCCAAAACCAUUAUUUCCCUGGGAGUGAAACAAUUUGAUACUGAAAAAAUUCUCUGAAAUUGAGUUAGUGUUUUUAGUCAAAACAGUUAGAGUAAGCUGAAAUAUUAGUUUAGAACGUGUAGCUUUUGCUGUGAUACAUGCUUCCAGCAUUUUCUAUUUUUAUGUCAUAGAAUUCAAUAAUAUGUUAUAAUUAUUUAGAAUUGUUAAAUGUUGUAAUAUCGAACAUGGGUUGUCAAAAUAGGUUUUUCGUUUUAACAGAGGCUCUCAUCUAUAAUCGUGUAUUAGUAACUAAUUAGUAAUGAUAGAAACUCCUUGCUGAUUCAGGCUUUAAAUUGUUCUAUCUACUGUCUCUGUUUUAGCCUAGUUGGAAUUACUUGCCACCAACACUUUCCCCUUAUACUAACUUUUAAGUAUUAAAGUAAAUGCUUGAUCUUAAAAAAGGCAUCUGGUCGAACCAACAUUAUUUACAGCUGAUCUUUUCAAUUUCAAAAAUCUUGAGUGAAAUUUAAUAACUAUAUUAACAACAGAAAAGUCAGUUUGUAACAUGUCCCAGUAGCAUACAUCUUAAAAAUGUGUGACCAUUAAAUAAAGUACUUAAACACUUGUCUUUAGUUUUGAUUUUUUUAAUGGAUAAAAGGAUAUGUAUUUAAAAUAUUAACAGUCUUACCUUGGAAGUACCCCAAUUUGCUUAACUGUGAAAAUUGAAGGGAAGUAGAGGUGAAAGAUGCUUCAAGUAUGAACCUGAUAAAUGGACCAACUUUGAGUGAAUUAGAAGUGGAACUUCAGCAUGAUCUGUAGCAGGAACAAACUGAUAUCACAAACACCAAUGCUGAUGAUUAUAAACCCCCAAAAAAAAAACUUAUUUUUCAAAACCAUUAUUCACCCAAAACUGGGAAUUUGAGCAUGCUCUGCCAUUGCACCAACAGGAUUGUUAUCUUUGAGAUUUCCUAUUAUUUAUUUCUAACAUUUGGUACCUUCCUUUUGAUUGGUCCUUUUUGAUGAGAUUCUGUAUAUUCUCCUUACUGUUUUACAUCAGUUUUUCCUUGCUUAUAACACCACCAUUGUAUGAAUCUAUAUAGUAAGACAAAGUAUUAUAAUAUAAUUCUUUGAACCAAAAAAGUUAGCUAUGUGGAAAUAAACACUCACUCUAUUUAGGCUCAAUUUGAAUCCUCCCACUUUAUGAGAACUUCUAAGAUAAAUUAUUUUAGUUCUAGAAAAGUUUACUUAUAUAAGUUGAUUUUAACUUUGAUUUAGUUUACCUUCUUAAUUUAUUAAUUAAUUGUAUUCUUUUUUCCUAUAAAUAACUUUUGGGGUAUAAUCUUUAUCUGUCUUUUUUAUAAGAAAAAAGGAAGAAAAAAACUACCUGUAACACAAUGUUUCCACAAAGGCAUUGGGAAUUGGCUCAACAGCAAUCCAUUCCCCAUCUUUCCAAUUCUCAACCACAUGUUUGGUGGCUCUUCCACUAUUUGUGUAGAGCUUGCACCUUCCAUUUGGAUCCUUAGUGUCGUUUAUCUUUUCAUCCUAAGGCAUGCCAUGGAAUUCUUUUGAAAAUAUUCCGUGUAGCAUCCACUAUAUCCUUAGAAACUCUAUGGUUGAUAACCUAGCAAGUUUAUCACAGUUUCAGAUUAACCAAAUAUACAUACAAGCACACAAAAUCAAGGCCAAACAUCUAAGACUAUAUAAAAUGUGUAGUAUUUCUCAUAAGAAACAAUUUAUUGGCCACAGCAAGUUAUAUAUAUAUCAGACAACACCAAAGAUAUCCAUCACGUGUGUUCAACCAAUAUAGUGGCACAUAUGCUGUUAGGAACUAUAGUAACAGAAAAAUGCUAAAUGAUUACACACAUAUUUAUAGGUAGAUUGGAUGCCACUGCAAAAGAAAAAACAAACAAAUAUAACCAUUUGAAGUAAUAAAAAAUUGUAUUGCAUUAUAAAACAAAAUUUACAAGAGAGUCUUUAAAAUAAUAUAGUAUAAUAGAACCAUUGGAAGUGGAGAUUUCUGUCGUUGAUGGGAAGAAUAUGUAUAAUUAAAUCAGUUUUAACCGCUAUUCCUCUAUUCUCUUUAUCCUAUUUUAAAUCCUCGGAGUCGGUUUAGGCUUGGGGAAGGAUAGCAGGUAAAUGUCUUGGGUAAGUUGGGAGAAUAUGUGUAAACAGUGGAGGCAGACGGUUUGGGAGUUAAAGAUAUAAGAAAGUUCAAUGGAGUUGUUCUAACUAAAUGGAAGUGGCGAUUUGUAGGUGAAGAAAAAGGGUUGUGGAAGAAUAACCUAGUAUCUAAAUACGACCCCUUUUGAAAAAUCAAUCCAGGUGGUGGAGAGAUUUAUCUAAACUAUGUGACCAGGGGGAGGAGAAGGGUGGUUCUAAGAAGCUCUGGAAUGGAAAGUGAGUUGUGGAGACAAAGUUAGAUUCUGGGAGGAUGUUUGGGUGGGCGGAAAUAAACUUAGUUCUGUGUAUCCUAGGUUGUUCACCCUUGGAAAGGAUCAGGGGCUAACAGUGAGCGAGGUGGGCGUAUGGGAAGACUCGGCUUGGAUCUGGAAACUAAGAUGGAGGAGGGUUAGGUUUGAAUAGGAAGUUGUGCAAGAAGCGGAAAUGCUUUGGUCUUUGUCAGGGGGCACUCUGAAUAGGGAGGCAAAGGACACACACUAGUGUGGAGAGGGAAUGCAAUAGGAAGAGUUUUCUGUGAAGUAAGCUUAUGAACGUUUUUCUAACUCUUACAUAAGUCCUCCUAACGGGCUGUUCAAACAGUUGUGGCAAUCUAAAGCAAUGCUCAAAGUCUGGACAACUGCUUGGAGGGUUCUGUUAGAUAGAAUUCCAACUCGUUCCAGCUUAGUCAGGAGAGGAGUUUUGGUUAAUUCAACUAGUUGUGCUCUUUGCCAUGUUGUUCAACAUCUAUUUAUAGAGUGUCCCAUAGGACAAAUAGUGUGGUCUCUCUGCUUUAAGUGGGUAGGUAUCCUGUUCUUACAACAUAAGUUACUUCGAGAACUUCCCCUUAGAAGAGUUGAGUUCAAAGCAGAACUUGGUCUGGAAAAUUAUGUGGGGGACAAUGGUGAGACGACUAUGAGAACAAAGAAACUCUAUUAUUUUUAAGAAGGGUUCCUGAUGCGGAAGAAAUCUUUCAUAUGACACAGCUUAAUUCAUGGUUGUGGUUUGAAACAUAAGACUCGCUCUUUCAAUUAUUCUUUCUCGGAUUGGCCUAAAUCUGAUCCUAUCCAUCAAAAGUCAAAUGUAAAAGGAGGGGAAGCCUGUUUGGGAGUGCAGUCAGUCGGCUAAAUGAAGUUUGAGAUGGGAGGACAAGGCAGAGGAAGGAAUAGUAGAGAUAGUGCAGAUCAUCAAGCAGGGAGAUGUAGGACCUGCUCUUGCUCUGAGCAGUAUAGAAAGGUAUCUUGAUCAGGAGGACUUGGAAGAUGGCUUGCUGUGAGGUGCUCUAGUGAAGGCAAAGGUGUUGUACUUGCCAAAACCGUUUUCGGAGCUUUAUUGGAGGUGUAGCAGAGAGUGUAUGACAGCUGUAAGGAGAUACAGCAGCACCGUUUAUGCAGUAGAGGAAUUGUUGUAGACGCUUUGGAAAGGUCACCUUGUAGCUUCUUGGUGGUGCUGCAGGACAGAUUCUAGGGAGAGCGCUGUAAUGGUAUCUGUGCUAGUGCUAGAGGUAGUCAAAGAGAUGCAUUUAUAGAAGGAAGUGUGAAGAGCAAACAAUGUUUUAUAGGGUACUUGAAAAUGUGUGUUCUGGUAUAAUCUGCAUAUUUAUGCAAUGAGGCAUUGCUUGAAUAUGCUUGCGUCAUGCAGCAUGCUAGUCUUGUUCUUAUGGACGCUUGUGGUAUUCUUAAGUGCCUUGCUAAUGCGAAUCUUAGGUAGCAGCUGGUGCAGUUUUGUAUAUUUGGCAUUGUGGAUCCCUGAUUAUGGUGCUUAAGCCAAGGCUGAGGCUAUGUUGUUAACCUGUAAGGGCCAAGCCAGCAGGUUCUGUUCUGGUUUUUUGCUUUCUAUGCCUAUUUCUGUUUUAUGCAGCAAAAGGAACCUUGUGAGCACAUGGGAAGUAGUACAAAUAGCUAUGGCUAGAGAGGAGGUGGCUCAAGACUUCACCAGCAUAGACUGCGGAGCUCAAGCAGAUGUGAGAUAUACUGAAAUAUCCACAUACAUAGAUUCUUUUCAGAUGCAAAUUUGUUAACUGGUGUGAAGAUUCUUGGAAAAUUGGAAGUUCUUAUAAGGAAGUGAAGAGCUCGGUUUCUGAAGCAUGAUUGCAAAGUGUUGUGUCAUAGAAUCAAAUCACGGUGGUUUGAUAGCUGCAGCAGGAUGGAUAAAAAAACCUUUGGCUUUUGCUUUUGAACCUCGUCAAUACCUCUGUUGAGGGACUUUUGAGGUCUUGAAAUCACAUCAGCAGCAUAUAGGGAGUUACAUCAGAAGGGUGUAUGGCUGUUCUUAUGUAGGGGAUGUGGCCAAUCAAUUCUGCAGGUGCUGUUUUGGUGUAGGGUAAUCGGUGUAUGGCUGCUCUUAGACAAAGGAUGUGGCCAAUUCUGCAGGUGCUGGCUUCAUGCAGGUUAAUCUGAAGCAGGGGGUUUUCACCAAUUCUGCAGAUGGGAAGGACUCUGUGAUGUGGUCUUUUGGCUUUAAGUUUAGGGUUUAGGCUUUAAUUUAUUUAUUUUUUGAGUCAGUGUAAUUUACAAAAUAUAGAACACAUAGUUACUUAUUAUAAAUAGAAUUCAGAUUUAUAUGAACAAGUUGAAUUUUUUUUACUAAAAAAUGUCAAUUUUAAAGAAUUUAUUUUUUAUUUUUAUAAUUAUAAUAAAAAUUUAUAUAAUAAAUUUAAAUUAUUAAAAAAUCAUUUUAUUUACUUUUUAAAAUUUUGUUGAAACCGUGUUAAAAUUUUCAUAAAUAUAAAAAACAAUGUCUUUUGAAAUGGAGAUUUUAACCACUCGUGUUUUAUAAGUGUUGUGUGUUCACUGUCGGAAACAAGGACACGUAAGAAGAAAACGCCGCCUUAUUAAAAACUGCAGGAGAUCUUAUUUGGGGAAGAUUCCAACCCAACCUUAAAUAUGCAUGACAAGCCAAACGAUUGAGGAGCAACAUAGUUCAAUGUGUAUGGUAAGUGACAAGUGAGAACUACUUAAGCAAGAAGGUGUCACAAAUUGGAACUAUGUUUCUGAAUUGUGUGGGCAUGUGUUGUUCGAAGCCCACAACAAAUACAACUUCAUCUCAGAGACAGUUUCCAACGUUGAUAGAAGAGCUGUGCCAUCAAUUUUCUCUCUCCGAUCUUAGGAAAGCCAUCAAUAACUUUGAUCAGAAGAGAGUAAUAGGAAGUGGAUUUUUUAGUGAAGUAUAUUAAGGGUGUCUGCAGCAUGAUGGUGCUUCUGAUUACACGGUCGCAAUAAAGCGAUUUCAUUAUCAAGGAUGGGAAGCGUUCAACAAGGAAAUCGAAUUGCUAUGCCAGCUUCGUCACCCUAGAUGUGUUUCUCUUAUAGGAUUCUGCAACCACCAAAAUGAGAAGAUUCUUGUAUACGAGUACAUGUCCAAUGGAUCUCUAGAUAAACACCUUCAAGAUGGUGAACUAUCAUGGAAGAAGAGGCUAGAGAUCUGCAUAGGAGUAGCACGUGGACUACACUACCUUCACACUGGUGCCAAGCGUUCCAUCUUUCACUGUAUCCUCGGUCCUAGUACCAUCCUUUUGGAUGACCAAAUGGAGCCAAAACUCGCUGGUUUCGGUGUUAGCAUGCAGGGAUCACGUUUUAUGUCAAAGCAGAAGCAAAUCAAUGUAGAUCGUGUUUUGGGUAAUUUUUGUUUUGUUGUAUGAGCUCACUCACUGCAAUGAAUUUUUGUGGAUCAAACUAAGCUAAUACUCUUUGUUAUAGGUACUUUUGGCUACCCGGCUACGGACUAUGUCAUGGAUGGUACCAUCACAGCUAAAUGGGAUGUUUUCUUAUUUGGUUUGCUUCUACUAAAAGUUGUGUGCAGGAGCAUAUUUUAUUUAAUAACCCUGACUGAAAAAGAAUGUCUGGAGAAUCCUGUUAAGGAGGGAAUUGAUCCGAUUAUCAAAGGAAAGAUUGCACCAGAUUGUUGGCAAGUGUUUGUAGAUGUGAUGGUAACUUGCUUGAAGUAUGACCCAGAUGAGAGACCAACAAUUGGUGAAGUGGAGGUUCAACUUGAGCAUGCAGGAACAAGCUGAUAUUACAAACUCCAACUCUGAGUAUACCUUACUGUCCAAAACCAUUAUUUCCAUGGGAGUGAAACAAUUUCAUACUGAAGAAAUGUAAGUGACCAGAUCACUGAAAUUGAGUUUAGUGUUUUUAGUCAAAACAGUUAGUAAUCUGAAAUUUGUUUAGAAUUUAGAUACUUGUGUAGCUUUUGCAGUGAUACAUGCAUCCAGCAUUUUCUAUUUUUAUGUCAUAGAAUUCAAUAAUAUGUUAUAAUUAUUAAAUGUUAUAAUAUCGAACAUGGGUUGUCAAAAUAGUUUUUUCGUUUUAACAGAGGCUGUCAUCAAUAAUCGUGUAUUAGUAACUAGUAAUGAUAAAAAUUCCUUCCUGUUUGAGACUUUAAACUGUUCUCUGUACUGUCUCUGUGUUAGCCUAGUUGGAAUUACGUGCCAAUAUUUUCCCCUUACACUAACUUUAAGUAUUAAAGUAGAAUAAUUGAAGUGGGGAGAGGAAGAAUAAUUGAAGAGAGAGAUAAUGGGGACAGAGGGAGAGAGAUGUUACAAAUAGUCUUAGAGAGAGAAAAACAAGCUCAAAUUGAUUUUAUGUAUUGAUUUGAUUCUCACAUGCUUGAUCUUUUUUAAGGCAUCUGGUCGAACCAACAUUAUUUACAGCUGAUCUUUUCAAUUUCAAAAAUCUUGAGUGAAAUUUAAUAACUAUAUUAACAACAGAAAAGUCAAUUUGUAACAUGUCCCAGUAGCAUACAUCUUAAACAUGUGUGACCAUUAAAUAAAGUACUUAAACACUUGUCUUUAGUUUUGAUUUUUUUAAUGGAUAAAAUGAUAUGUAUUUAAAAUAUUAACAGUCUUGGAAGUAGAGGUGAAAGAUGCUUCAAUUCAAGUAUGAACCUGAUAAAUGACCAACUAUGAGUGAAGUAGAGGUGGAACUUCAGCAUGAUCUGUAGCAGGAACAAACUAAUUUCACAAACACCAAUGCUGAUGAUUAUAAACCCUAAAAAAAAGCUUAUUGCUCAAAACCAUUAUUCUCCCAAAACUGGGAAUUUAAGCAUCCUCUCCUAUUGCACCAACAGGAUUGUUAUCUGUGAGAUUUCUACUAUUUAUUUCUAACAUUUGGUACCUUCCUUUUGAUUGGCCUUUUGAUGAGAUUCUGUAUAUUCUCCUUACUGUUUUACAUCAGUUUUUUUGUUGCUUAUAACGCCACUAUUGUAUGAAUCUAUACAGUAAGACAAGUUAUGUUAUUUAAGGUUUAAACAUUUUAAGAGUUAGAUGGCUGCUGUUUGACUCAACAUAAGCAUAAAGUAUUUAGUUGAUAAACAAUCGUGAAAUUUAUCUAAUGUUAUUAUAUGUAUCAAGAUGGACUUUCGUUGUUGGAUAAAAAUAAAAGUUUUAACAACUCACUUCCCUAUUCCCACAGAAAAGUAGUUAUUUUCUGUCUGAUUUGCAAACUCUACUUUGCAACAGGUUCAUCUAGUUUCUUCAAGCAGUCAAUAUAUCUGUCUCAACUAUUACUGAAGGGAACUUUGUUUUAGUUAGCUUUAAUUGUAUACUUUAGUUAGCCUUAAUAACAAAGAAGAAAGCAUAUUGUGAUAUGUUUUCCAAAUCUGCACAACAAAACAUAUUUCAUCAUAUGCAUUUGAUUUUUGGUUCACCAGAAUGCCAAGAUUUCACCUUAUACUAAUGUUCGGUCUGAAAAUUAAAAAGUCUGAACAAUAACUAUUUCUGUCAAGAUCCAAUUUAUCAUUUGAUUUAGUCACAUGCACAGAAAUAGGAAGAUUUGAAUAAAAAGAAAACAUGAAAUGAUUGCAGAAAUGGGCUCAGGGAGUUAAGUCAAAGAGAGUUCUAGGCGAUCCCAAAUAAGUUAACGCCCCUACGACACUUUGCAGGGACAACAAGCCAAAAAAUUGUAAUUAAACCAAAGCGAGUGACUACAAAAGGCAAGGGAGUUAACCAAAUCUAAACAAACACUUGUGAACAAAAGUUGUUAUAUAAAUAGAAUGCUUAUUGAAGGUUUAUUAAGAGUAUUUAGUAGUGUAUACAUUUGACUUUUGUAUUUGUAACCUACAUAGAGUUCUAAUAAUUAUUUUUAGUCUAUAAAAUAUCUUUGAACUUGGCAUCAAAAAGCUGCAAAACUUACAUUCAAAACCACAUUUUCACUUUGCCAUUCAUUUAACAUCUCCAACAUUUGUUAAAUGUUGGAGAUCAGUGUGAUCAGUGAUCAUUUGUAUAAUAUUAUACAAAUGGGUGAAGUAGAGGUGCUACUUGAGCAUGCCCUUGCAUUGCAGAAACAAGCAGAUAUCACAAACACCAAUACUGAUGAUUAUACUUUACUGUCCAAAACCAUUAUUCCCCAUCCUGCAACUAAAAUAUAGGUUUGUGUUUUGAAUCAAAAUAGUCAGAGUAAGCUUUUGCAGUGACUUUUAAUUUGAGAUACUUGUACCUUUUAUUGUGAUAUCACUUUCUAGCAUUUUAGUUUUACCAGAGACUGUCAUAGAAUCGUUGCAAUGAUCCUCUACUGGUGUAAAAUUGAAAGAAAUGCAGGAAAUUUAAUAAGAACAGAGUAAUGAUAAAACUCCCCUGAUGGAGUCUAUAUGAUUUGCUCUUCCUCUUGUAGAUGCCCUCACUUCCAAACUAACCACUGAUACAUGCAACACAAUCAUAUAGAUGAACUAUGCUACUAAAGAUUUAAUAAAACAUUUGGAGGGUUAGAUGAGUGGGAUGAGAUUCAACCUCAACACAAAAAUUAUUUAUUUGAUAAACCCAUCAUCAAUCUUAUCUAAUAUUGUUAAAAGCUAAAUUUUAAAAGCUCAUCCCCCCUGCCCUGCGAAAUGUGAUUAUGUUGGAACUGGAGACAAUCACAGAAGACAGUGAUAUUGAAGAAGUGGAACUGGAAAUCAUCACAGAAGACAGUGAUAGUGAAGAAAUGUAACGAAUUCACACCUAAUUUAAGCUGAAAUUAAGUUUAGUGUUUUUGAAUCAAAACAGUGACAUCUGCAGAGAUCAAGUUUAAUUGAGAUACCUGUACCUUUUAUUGUGAUCUCUGUUUCUAACAUUAUCAUCUUACCGGAAGCUGUCAUGGCAAUAAUCUGGUACUAGUAUAAAUUUGAAAGAAUUGCCAACAAAAUCAAUAAUGAUAGCACUCCCUUGCUUCAGUCUGUAAUUUUUGCUCUUCUUUUUCUAGGAACCCUCACCACAUAACCAGUCACUGAUAUAUAAAGCAAAAUCAUACAGAUUGCAGCAGAGUGUAGGGAACUCUCUAUAGAUACCAUGAUAAAUUGCUUUUAAGUACGGAUCGGAUAAGCCACCAACAGUAUGUCAAGUAGAGGUGCAACUUGACCAAUUGUGAUUAUACUUUAUUGUCCAUAACCGUUACCUGAAAAAGUGUACAACUGGGUACAAUGAAGGGGUAAAAACGGCAAUCAAAGAAAUAGUAUUUUGACUGAUACCUUUAAUUUUUCCCUUGCCAUUAUUAGAGUAGAUGAAUCUACCAAACCAUAUCUAGGACCAUAUUGGAUGAAUUUCUGUAUAAAUAUUUCUAGAAAAAAAAAAUCUUUGAACUAGCAGUAGUUUUUUCACAUCUUGACUAAGUCAGAGUUUUAUAUGCAGGCCUUGGAUCUUAUUUGGGGAAGAUUCCAACCCAACCUUAAUAUGCUUCACAAGCCAAACAAUUGAGGAGCAACAUAGUUCAAUGUGUAUGGUAAGUGACAAGUGAGAUCUACUUAAGCAAGCAAGGUGUCACAAAUUGGAACUAUGUUUCUGAAUUGUUUGGGCAUGUGUUGUUCGAAGCCCACAACAAAUACAACUUCAUCUCAGAGACAGUUUCCAACGUUGAUAGAAGAGCUGUGCCAUCAAUUUUCUCUCACCGAUCUUAGGAAAGCCACCAAUAACUUUGAUCAGAAGAGAGUAAUAGGAAGUGGAAUAUUUAGUGAAGUAUACAAAGGGUGUCUGCAGCAUGAUGGUGCUUCUGAUUACCCGGUCGCAAUAAAGCGAUUUCAUUAUCAAGGAUGGGAAGCGUUCAACAAGGAAAUCGAAUUGCUAUGCCAGCUUCGUCACCCUAGAUGUGUUUCUCUUAUAGGAUUCUGCAACCACCAAAAUGAGAAGAUUCUUGUAUACGAGUACAUGUCCAAUGGAUCUCUAGAUAAACACCUACAUGAUGGUGAACUAUCAUGGAAGAAGAGGCUAGAGAUCUGCAUAGGAGUAGCACGUGGACUACACUACCUUCACACUGGUGCCAAGCGUUCCAUCUUUCACUGUAUCCUCGGUCCUAGUACCAUCCUUUUGGAUGACCACAUGGAGCCAAAACUCGCUGGUUUCGGUGUUAGCGUGCAGGGAUCACGUUUUAUGUCAAAGCAGAAGCAAAUCAAUGU